Molecule: RNA transcript, 1616 nt
Organism: Hemiscyllium ocellatum (epaulette shark)
Lineage: Eukaryota; Metazoa; Chordata; Chondrichthyes; Orectolobiformes; Hemiscylliidae
Gene name: gastrula zinc finger protein XlCGF49.1-like
Exons: 3
Source: RefSeq, a predicted model, not a curated record
UGGUUCACUUCCUAUAGGGACUGAAAACCAAGUGAGGAGAUGAAGGAUUGCACCACACCACCCGAGAGAAUACAGAGAGAAUAGACACCACAGACAGAUCCUGACAAUCAACAAAGGGACAACUGCACAACAACAUGGAAGACCUCAAGUGCGAGGUGCCUGACCAGGUUUGCAUACAAUCAUCAGCGAAUGACCAGCACAUUCAUGGAAAUGAGAAGCUCUUUAGGUGCGAGUUCUGUGAAAAGUCUUUCUCAACAUCAUGGAACCUCAAAAGACACAGACGGAUGCAUAUGGGAGAGAAAUUAUUAACAUGUGAAAUGUGCAGCAAAUCAUUCUCGGACUCCUCUUACCUCCGUGUACACCAACGUGUUCACACUGGGGAGAAACCGUUCACGUGCGAAGUGUGUGACAAAUCAUUUGCACAGUCAUCCACCCUCCACGCACAUCAACGCAUUCACACAGGAGAGAAGCCCUUCAAGUGUGAGGUAUGUGACAAAUCCUUUUCACAGUUAGGAAGCCUCAUGGUCCAUCAGAAGAUCCACACAGGGGAGAAACCCUUCAAGUGCGAGGCUUGUGGUAAAGCUUUUGUGAGAUCUUCGAGCCUCCUGAUACACCAGAUGAUUCACACUGGAGAGAAACCCUUCCGAUGUGAAUUUUGUGAAAUAGCUUUCAUCCAGUUCUCCGAUCUCCUGAGACACCAGAGAAUUCACACAGGAGAGAAACCCUUUAAAUGUGAGGUUUGUGACCGAGCCUUUACACAGUCCUCGACGCUUGUAAAACACCAACGCAUUCACACAGAUAGGGAAUCUGUUCUCAUGCAAGAUGUGUGACAAAUACAUUUCAGGGUCAUCAAUCCUCCACCUAUUGUAGAAGCAGAACUAUCUGGUGCAGAGUUUGGAACAAAGCUUUCACCUCCUCCUCCAAUCUACUGAAGCAUCAACAAAUUCGCAAUGGUGAGAAACCAUUCAUGUAUGAGGAGCGUGUCAAGGCUUCCAUACAGUUUGUGUAUCCCCAGGUUUAUUAACGCACACUUAUGAGAAGCUUCAUGGGUGAGGGUUCUGUGUUAAUACCUGACACAGUUGUCAGAUCUGCCGGAACAUCACUUGACUCAAACAGGAGACAAACCUUCCCAGUGUGAUGUUAUUAGGAUUGUUUCACCUCCUCCUGUCUCACCAGACACCAAAAUCUCCACAUGGACAUGGGACCAGAUCAACCGCUUCCGUUACGCUGAGAGCUGUCUGUGUUGUUUCCCCUCCAGUGCUCACAAAGGGGGAGCUGUCAUUCCAAAGCGCUGUCUGUCUCAAACCUCUCUCAAAUUCAAUUCAGUCAUUUCAAGAAGGUCAAUUUAACCUUUGGCCUGAUCAUUAAACAUCACCAAAAGAAGUAUGCACAGAAGCUCCUGUAGAAAUGCAGCAUCCUUUCAGUAUAGGGUCAGGGACAAGUCUCUCACUGAUUCUCACUCUGACCAAGAAGACAAUCAGAUACUCAGCGGUUACAAAGGCUUUAGCACUGGGGGAGAAACCAUUCCUGGAUAGUAAUGGAGUUACAGUCGUCCCUUUCUGGGUUGGAGGUAGGGGAAUUCCUUUUUCUUCCCCAAUCCAUAGGAUGAAUGCAUG